This 532-nucleotide small RNA is filed under the name Histoplasma capsulatum. RNAcentral's name for it is "hypothetical RNA". The record is from RNAcentral. Lineage: Eukaryota; Fungi; Ascomycota; Eurotiomycetes; Onygenales; Ajellomycetaceae. RNAcentral also lists the same sequence under 1 other name.
UAUUUGCUUCCAGUAUUACUGCGUAAGAGCAGAUAUCAAUGAACGAUUAAGCCAGCAGUCAACUCUCGUACUGGAUGGACGGGGUGAGUUCUUGUAUGGCCAAUGCACAUACACCACAGCUCACGGAUUAAAAUCAGGCAAAAUAAAAACUUGCCGGGGUAUUGAAUCUACUAAUAUGAGUUUGAAUCAUCCUCCUCUUCUAGCCGCAACACGGCAAUAGCAACAAUCGCUGCCGCGGGCAUUGCAUAUCGCUUUUACGCGUGAUCCAGGGCAAGACAGGGAAGUUUGGUACAGCCCAAAUGGCAGCAGCAGUAUAACACAGAAGGGCAGCCACAGAAGACGGGAGACGGCGGCAAGUCAGGGAGAGCAAAGGAAAUGCCGUGAAGCGGUCCGUCUCUCAAUAUUACACAAUAGUGUAUGCAUUGAAAGCUUGGACUAAUCAAUGGUUUCGGUACGCAAGCGGCAACUAAAUGAAAUGGGUUUUUUGAAGGAAGAACGAAUCUAUGGACUGUUAGUUGGGGCAAUCGGGUUA